CGUGGUGAGGUAGUGCGUGGUGGACUGCGGCAGGUUCUGUUCCUGUGGGUCCUGGAUGCCGAUGUUCAUGCCGCGUUCGUCGAGCGGCGUGAUGU
This 95-nucleotide transfer RNA is filed under the name Streptomyces chartreusis. RNAcentral's name for it is "tRNA-Gln". Lineage: Bacteria; Bacillati; Actinomycetota; Actinomycetes; Kitasatosporales; Streptomycetaceae. The record is from RNAcentral.